This 444-nucleotide ribosomal RNA is filed under the name uncultured bacterium. RNAcentral describes it as "SSU rRNA". It matches the Rfam family "Bacterial small subunit ribosomal RNA", at positions 26 to 518 of the family's 1533-position model. The record is from RNAcentral.
AGAAUGAACGCUGGCGGCAUGCCUAACACAUGCAAGUCGAACGAAGGCUUCGGCCUUAGUGGCGCACGGGUGCGUAACGCGUGGGAAUCUACCCUUAGGUUCGGAAUAACAGUUGGAAACGACUGCUAAUACCGGAUGAUGACGUAAGUCCAAAGAUUUAUCGCCUAGGGAUGAGCCCGCGUAGGAUUAGCUAGUUGGUGUGGUAAAGGCGCACCAAGGCAACGAUCCUUAGCUGGUCUGAGAGGAUGAUCAGCCACACUGGGACUGAGACACGGCCCAGACUCCUACGGGAGGCAGCAGUGGGAAUAUUGGACAAUGGGCGAAAGCCUGAUCCAGCAAUGCCGCGUGAGUGAUGAAGGCCUUAGGUUGUAAAGCUCUUUUACCCGGGAUGAUAAUGACAGUACCGGGAGAAUAAGCUCCGGCUAACUCCGUGCCAGCAGCCGC